GCCUCCGGGCUGUCCCGGAGGCCGCGCGAGCGGCCGUGAGACUGGGCGGGCGGGACGGGUGGAGCGUGGCGCGUCCCGUCCGAGGAGCGUGGGUGCGGGGCACCCUCUGCGUGCGCGUGGGCACGUGCGUGAGUCAGUGUCACACUGCCCGCCUCCUGCUGGGCUCGGCGCCAGGACUCUGCAGGCAGCCCUUCCACCGCCCGGCUUCCCUCCUUGUCGCGGGACAGCCGGGUGACCGGCCCGCCAAGCAGCCCUCCCUCCAUGUGCUCCGAGCUCGCCCUCUGCCCUUCCGGGAGGAGUCGCGGCAUCCUGCCGAGUCCUCGGAACCCUGUCCCCAAAUUACCGGGUACUCGGGCUUGCCGAUGGAAAAGCUCUCCCAAUCCAGCACCGCCUAAACUCGGAGUUGGAGAACCGACACUUGAGCACUGUGGUGCAAAUAAAACCCGCUUUCUCCCAA
This 457-nucleotide long non-coding RNA is filed under the name Mus musculus (house mouse). RNAcentral's name for it is "predicted gene, 38958 (Gm38958)". The record is from RNAcentral. Lineage: Eukaryota; Metazoa; Chordata; Mammalia; Rodentia; Muridae.